AGCUUUGUGCAGUGGCACUAUCUUAGCCAAUGAGGUUUAUCCAAGGCGCAAUUAUUCCUAACUGAAAACUUUUUUCAGUACCCCGCCAUGACGACUUGAAAUAUAGUCAGCAUUGGCAAUUUUUGACAGUCUCUAUGGAGA
This 141-nucleotide small nuclear RNA is filed under the name Propithecus coquereli (Coquerel's sifaka). Its description in RNAcentral is "U4 spliceosomal RNA (ENSPCOG00000000826.1)". It matches the Rfam family "U4 spliceosomal RNA". Rfam says of the family: U4 small nuclear RNA (U4 snRNA) is a component of the major U2-dependent spliceosome. The structure of U4 snRNA from yeast and human has been reported. Lineage: Eukaryota; Metazoa; Chordata; Mammalia; Primates; Indriidae. The record is from Rfam by way of RNAcentral.